This 790-nucleotide unclassified non-coding RNA is filed under the name Hevea brasiliensis (rubber tree). The record is from RNAcentral. Lineage: Eukaryota; Viridiplantae; Streptophyta; Magnoliopsida; Malpighiales; Euphorbiaceae.
GAUGAAUGUAUUGUGUAAUAAAUAUAUUUUGUGUCUUAUUAGAUUAUUCAAGAAUGACUUAAAUCGUUCUAUAAUAUUUGCCUUGCUUGCAUCAGAGUUUAUGGAGCUGUGCCUGUAAACUGGAGCAAUCAUUUAGAUGUGACCAUAACCAUUGGCAUUGUAGUAGAUAGAUCAUUAUGGUCAUUUAGACAUAGGUGUCUGACUUUACUAAUAUUAGGUCCACCCAUUCCUUGUAGUUGGAGGUAGUACCACAACAUCUAGAAAGACCUUCACAAAUUAAACACAAUUCAUGUGCAUAUCUGCCCAUGUGCAUGUGUAUGUAUUACUUUCUUUUUGGUUAAGGCCCAAGGGGAAAAAAAUUUUCGGCUUUAUAAUCUCUGCAGUUCUUGGACGAAGUAUUUGGCAAAUGGAUGCUAGUUUGUUAGAAUAGUACCCUACCACAGUGGUAAGUUUGCAUUGAAGUGUGGGCAGCAGCAUUUAAUUGCCCACCUCAGCCUCUCUCUUUAUCCUACCUCCACUUUCCAUUGGUUGAUCAUUGUCAUUGCAAAAUCUAUGUUUGACUUGUAUAAGUGGGUAUAAUAUUAUGUAAAUCCACAAACAGUGCUUAAAUCGAUAAAAGAUGUGGCUACAAACACACAAGAAAUGCUUCUGUGUUAAUGUGUGAGAUACCAAAGUGUCUCUUGGAAAUGCACUUCUAAUGUGAUGUACUUGUAAAGGGCGAUUCGUUUCCUCAAAGUAAUAAUGCAAUGAAUGUUUCUUGUAAACAGGAAUCGCUUUUACAUUAUGAGUA